CCCGCGCCGGGCAGGGCCACGUGCACCGCGGUGCUCUCGCCAUCGCGGACGCGCAGCAGGGUCACCCCGGCUUCGUCCGCGUCGAGGGCGUGGGC
This 95-nucleotide transfer RNA is filed under the name Micrococcus luteus. RNAcentral's name for it is "tRNA-Glu(ctc)". The record is from RNAcentral. Lineage: Bacteria; Bacillati; Actinomycetota; Actinomycetes; Micrococcales; Micrococcaceae.